RNAcentral lists this transfer RNA (77 nucleotides) under Thiothrix nivea. RNAcentral describes it as "tRNA-Arg". It matches the Rfam family "tRNA". From Rfam's summary of the family: Transfer RNA (tRNA) molecules are approximately 80 nucleotides in length. Their secondary structure includes four short double-helical elements and three loops (D, anti-codon, and T loops). Further hydrogen bonds mediate the characteristic L-shaped molecular structure. tRNAs have two regions of fundamental functional importance: the anti-codon, which is responsible for specific mRNA codon recognition, and the 3' end, to which the tRNAs corresponding amino acid is attached (by aminoacyl-tRNA synthetases). tRNAs cope with the degeneracy of the genetic code in two manners: having more than one tRNA (with a specific anti-codon) for a particular amino acid; and 'wobble' base-pairing, i.e. permitting non-standard base-pairing at the 3rd anti-codon position. Lineage: Bacteria; Pseudomonadati; Pseudomonadota; Gammaproteobacteria; Thiotrichales; Thiotrichaceae. The record is from RNAcentral. RNAcentral also lists the same sequence under 22 other names.
GCGCCCGUAGCUCAGCUGGAUAGAGCAACGGCCUUCUAAGCCGUGGGUCGCAGGUUCGAGUCCUGCCGGGCGCGCCA